RNAcentral lists this ribosomal RNA (425 nucleotides) under uncultured bacterium. RNAcentral's name for it is "partial 16S ribosomal RNA". It matches the Rfam family "Bacterial small subunit ribosomal RNA", at positions 354 to 796 of the family's 1533-position model. The record is from RNAcentral.
GUAGGGAAUAUUGGACAAUGGGCGAAAGCCUGAUCCAGCAAUGCCGCGUGAGUGAUGAAGGCCUUAGGGUUGUAAAGCUCUUUUACCAGGGAUGAUAAUGACAGUACCUGGAGAAUAAGCUCCGGCUAACUCCGUGCCAGCAGCCGCGGUAAUACGGAGGGAGCUAGCGUUGUUCGGAAUUACUGGGCGUAAAGCGCGCGUAGGCGGCGAUUUAAGUCAGAGGUGAAAGCCCGGGGCUCAACCCCGGAAUAGCCUUUGAGACUGGAUUGCUAGAAUCCUGGAGAGGUGGGUGGAAUUCCGAGUGUAGAGGUGAAAUUCGUAGAUAUUCGGAAGAACACCAGUGGCGAAGGCGGCUCACUGGACAGGUAUUGACGCUGAGGUGCGAAAGCGUGGGGAGCAAACAGGAUUAGAAACCCUGGUAGUCC